GCCCCACCCCUCCCCUCGCUAUCGCCGGCGCUGUGGCUGCGGCCCUCCUUCCCUCAUUCGCUGCGCCUUCAUCUCUUCUACCACCCUCUCCCUCGUCCACUCUCCGCGCGCGUCCACACGGCAUCGCGUGCCUGCGCGCUGUCGGGUCUUGCUCGUGUGUUGCCGCCCCGCUGCUUUCGGUAGGCACGUGCGGUUUCCAUAGAGCUCCUCUCUUUGCACAUGAAGGCCUCCCCUUGCCGGCUGGCCGCCUCUCGCCCUCCCGCAGCGGCGCGCCUCUACCGCGCCUAUGGUCCCGUGCACCUGCUGCCGCGCACUACGGCUAUGCGGCGGCUGGCGGCGGCGUCCGUAAUGAUGGCAACCGCUGGCUCGCUUGGCGAGACGCUGCUGUCGUCUGCCGCCGUUUCGGCCGGAGGCGCCGCGCACUCGGCGACGGGCGGCUCGACGGCGCUGCUGCAGCACCGUCGCUGGCAGUCCGGCGGAGGCUCGAAGAAGGACCUAUACUCGGUGCUAGGCGUGGCGCGAAACGCAACACCGGAGCAGAUCAAGUCCGCCUACAAGAAGCGCGCCAAGGCGCUGCACCCCGAUGUGAACCCAAGCCCCACCGCCGCUGAGGACUUUGCGGAGGCGAAGCAGGCCUACGAGACCCUCUCCGAUCCGCAGAAACGCAGCUUGUACGACAUGACUGGCAACGCCAGCGCCGCCGGCGGCUUCGGUGGGCCCGGCGGGACGGGCGGCGGCUUUAACCCCUUCGGCGCCGGCGGCAAUCCGUUCGCGGCGGGUGGUAACCCGUUCGCGAACAUGGGCGGUGCUAACCAGCCCGGCGGCGGCCAGGGCGGCUUCUCCUUCAACGACUUCGAGGAGAUCUUCCAGAAGAUGAGCAACAGCGGCAAGGACAAGACCCGCAAGCCGCAAGGACCGGAGCCUGGCGCGGACAUCCAUUACAAGCUCGUGCUCAGCUUCCUCGACGCCGUCAACGGGUGCCAGAAGGAAAUCAGCUACAACACGAUGCGCCGGUGCGGGGCGUGCACCGGCAGCGGCUGCCAGGACACCGGGUCGCGCACGAAAUGCCCGCACUGCGGCGGCCGCGGCAAGAAGGUGAUGUCCACCGGCUUCUUCCACAUGCAGCAGGACUGCACCCACUGCGGUGGCACAGGCGAGCUUGGUCGAACGACGUGCACGCAGUGUAGCGGUAAGGGCAUCGUAAAGGACCGCAGCGUGCAGACGCUACCGGUGCCGAAAGGUGUGGACAACAAGGAGCGGUUGAAGGUGACAGGCAAGGGCGAGGCUGGUGUGCGCAACGGCCCGCCUGGAAACCUCUACAUUGAAAUCUCCGUCGAGGACGACCCUGUCUUCCACCGCGAGGGCAGCGACAUCCACGUUAUCACCCCCAUCACGCUCUCCACCGCGGUGCUCGGUGGCACGGCGCGGGUGCCGACCCUCACAGGCGAGGUCGAGACUCGGGUUCCUGUCGGCACGCAGCAGGGCGACAAGCUCGUGCUGCGCGGCCGCGGCGUGCACCGGCCGAAUCACAACAAGACGGGCGACUUCUACAUCCACUUUGCCGUCAUGCUGCCGAAGGAGCUCACGGAGGAGCAGAAGAAGGCCAUCGCCGACUUUUCCAAGGAUGAAAGGCCGCUCCACCUCAACGACGCCCAGCUGCAGGAGCUCAAGGGGCGCUACCGUUCUUGGUUCGCGACGUAGAGGGGUCAUUGGUUUCACCGACUGGUGGGGCGCCUCUGCGUGCGUGUGUGUGUGUGUGUGUGCCCGUGUGCGAGGAGUGUUGAUUUCUUGUCUGCAUGUAUGUGGCCUUCUUCUUACCGGUGCGGCUUGUGUUUUGAUAAUGGCGGCGGCGGCAGCGGGGGGGGGGGGGUUACGCGGAGGUUGAUCGGAGCAGGCGACUGGCGGUUGAUCUGAUUUGCAGGCGGUGAUGACAUUGUCGCCGACACAGGCGCACGCCGAUGCGCAUGCACGUGGGCGCGGGAUGGUGUGCUCGUUGGCUUUAGUCACAUUCCUUUCCUUUGGCUCAGUUUGUUUCUGGGUGUUUUUCGUCGUGAGGGGCUGAGGGGAGUGCGGGGCUGCGGGCCUUUGCAUUUUCGAAGCGGACAGGUGAGACUGUGUACAGUGAGCGACACGCGUGAGAUGCGAUGGGUCGGUGAAUAUGCGGAGGGUCGGUGGUGGUGUGUGGUGGUGUGAUGCUGUGCGUGUGCGUGUGGGGGCGUAGCGGUGUUUGUCUUACCACCUCGUCCCGAACACGCAGACACACACGCGGGAGACGACGGCGGCGGCCCUUUGGCGUGGCCUCCCAGCGCCACGUCCUCCUUUGUUCUCGUAACGGAAGUGCACUACGAACGCCUCCUGCCUCCCUCCACGAGGGCCAUCACACACACGCACACUCCAUCCAACCUCCCAACCCGAACCCCCCGACCGCUGCUGAGGGGUCUCUUGUGUGUCCGUGCGUGUGCGCGUGUUAAUGCGCGAGUUGCAUAUUCGUUUCAUUUUCGUUAAACUCGGUCCAUCUCUCUGCCAUGCGAGAUGCGUUCCAGUCCACACCGCCCUCUCACGGCCCUGUCACAGGCCCCCUCCCGCUCCCCCCUCUCCGCGUGGUGCCAAGCAGCCGUAGGCGGUGUGAGGGGGGCCCAGGUCGGGGAGACACGCUCCAGCCACGCUGGCACGUCGCCCGCCCAUAUGGAUCGUACAAGCGUGUGCACGGCCGCCGGUCGCUCUGACCUCCCCCUCUCACGCCCUAGGCACCCUGGCCCUGCCACCACGCGAAGUGGCCCGGCGCCGGCGAGGGGAUAGGAGGGGGUGGAGGGGGGCUCUGCUCGGCUUCCAGCCGGAGAGUGGGCGUGCACUGGCCGCUGAGGCACCACGCGCUGAGGUGUGCGCACCCCCUCCCCCACCCGUCAUCCGGAUGCACGAGUUCCACAGAAGAAGAUGUGGAACGAGGGGGGCGUGGGCCUGAGGUAGUGCGGUGAAUGCUCUCGUACCGUGCAGCACCGAUAUGUCCUUCUGUAUGAUAUCUUGCUCGCCGGAUACUGCCGGCACCAACGGGCAUCUCCUCUGUGUGUGUGUGUGUGUUUGUGUGCAAGUAUCCGCACCCCGCUCCACACAUCUACACACCGACGCGCGACGGGGAGAGGUGUCGACGGAAUCUCAUCAAGCACCCUCACGGUGGACCGCCGAGCCGGUGUGUCGCAUGCCCACCUCCGCUUCUUCCUCGUCCUUCCUCCUCUGCUUUGUGUGGUGAUUCUCGACUUCUCCUUCGCGUAG
This 3270-nucleotide unclassified non-coding RNA is filed under the name Leishmania donovani. Its description in RNAcentral is "gene:LdHU3.04.1180(CDS-product:chaperone_protein_ DNAj_putative)". Lineage: Eukaryota; Euglenozoa; Kinetoplastea; Trypanosomatida; Trypanosomatidae. The record is from RNAcentral.